GACGAACGCUGGCGGCGUGCCUAAUACAUGCAAGUUGAGCGAUGAAGAUUGGUGCUUGCACCAAUUUGCAGAGCAGCGAACGGGUGAGUAACGCGUGGGGAAUCUGCCUUUGAGCGGGGGACAACAUUUGGAAACGAAUGCUAAUACCGCAUAACAACUUUAAACAUAAGUUUUAAGUUUGAAAGAUGCAAUUGCAUCACUCAAAGAUGAUCCCGCGUUGUAUUAGCUAGUUGGUGAGGUAAAGGCUCACCAAGGCGAUGAUACAUAGCCGACCUGAGAGGGUGAUCGGCCACAUUGGGACUGAGACACGGCCCAAACUCCUACGGGAGGCAGCAGUAGGGAAUCUUCGGCAAGGGACGAAAGUCUGACCGAGCAACGCCGCGUGAGUGAAGAAGGUUUUCGGAUCGUAAAACUCUGUUGGUAGAGAAGAACGUUGGUGAGAGUGGAAAGCUCAUCAAGUGACGGUAACUACCCAGAAAGGGACGGCUAACUACGUG
Molecule: ribosomal RNA, 497 nt
Filed under: uncultured bacterium
Lineage: Bacteria
Description: partial 16S ribosomal RNA
Rfam family: Bacterial small subunit ribosomal RNA
Source: RNAcentral